Molecule: ribosomal RNA, 119 nt
Organism: Oncorhynchus mykiss (rainbow trout)
Lineage: Eukaryota; Metazoa; Chordata; Actinopteri; Salmoniformes; Salmonidae
Source: Ensembl
GCUUACGGCCAUACCAGCCUGAAUACGCCCGAUCUCGCCUGAUCUCGGAAGCUAAGCAGGGUCGGGCCUGGUUAGUACUUGGAUGGGAGACCGCCUGGGAAUACCAGGUGCUGUAAGCU